RNAcentral lists this long non-coding RNA (626 nucleotides) under Rattus norvegicus (Norway rat). Its description in RNAcentral is "long non-coding RNA NONRATT022620". The record is from RNAcentral. Lineage: Eukaryota; Metazoa; Chordata; Mammalia; Rodentia; Muridae.
GGCUUAGUGCUAUACUGGGCUGAUGCUUUCAAGGAAAUCCCACUGUCAGGAAGCAGUGUCCCCUCUAAAUAUGCAUACGGACUGCCACCUACCGUGCAAGAGGGCUAGACAGAGGUUCUUCAGUCUCUGAGAAGUUUGCUGCCCAAGGGUCCAGAAUGAAGAGAGUGGGCCGCCGUAGCAGAGGGAAUCAGAGAGACAGGGGUUGGCCUGAGACGUGUGUUUUGCCUCUGCAGAUGGUCACAGUUGGGAUUGGUAUGAUGAGGUGUGUUAGAGGAAGAGCGGUGCUUUUAGAGAGAGGAUGUCUUGGCCUUUGGGUGACUUGGUCCAACAUACUGUGGGAUUUUGGGCCCCUGCCAGGUCUGGCCAGAAAAGUCCUGCUGCUUUUACAGUGAGUUUGGUGCUGGCAGCAUCCCAGGAUAGGGGUGCAUCAUGGGCAAGGGGUGUGUUUUCUCCUGGAAAAAACAGGAAGGAAACGAAGGGCAGCCAAAGGCUUCAGACCAUCAGAGGUUCCCUGUUGAUUACUGCGGACACUGUCCUGGAUGGCCUCUGGGGGGUAGGACUUGUCUCUGCUUUACAGAACAGCUUGUCAGGGAUUAGAGGGAUUAAGGAGCCUGCCCUGCUAAGCA